This 2772-nucleotide long non-coding RNA is filed under the name Homo sapiens (human). RNAcentral describes it as "non-protein coding lnc-SHB-5:1". Lineage: Eukaryota; Metazoa; Chordata; Mammalia; Primates; Hominidae. The record is from RNAcentral.
AGAUGAGUUUGCUCCACUUGAGGAUACAGAGCACCCCGGCAGCAGUGAGUGAGUUCUUGUGAGAUCUGGUUGCUUAAAAGUGUGUGGCACCCCCUCAACUCUGCUGCUUCUGCUUUCAUCAUGUGAAGUGCCUGCUCCCCCUUUGCCUUCUGACAUGUUUGUAAGUUUCCUGAGGCCUUUCCAGGAGCCAAGCAGAUGCCAGCAUCAUGCUUCCUGUACAGCCUGAAGAACCGUGAGCUAAUUAAACGUCUUUUUUGUUUGUUUGUUCAUUUGUUUUUGUGGCUGGAGUGCAGGGUGCGAUCUUGGCUCACUGCAACCUCCACCUCCUGGGUUCAAGUGAUUCUCUUCCCUCAGCCUCCCAAGUAGCUGGGACUACAGGCCCCACUACCAUGCCUGGCUAAUGUUUUGUAUGUUUAGUAGAGAUGGGGUUUCACCAUGUUGGCCAGGCUGGUUUCGAUCUCCUGACCUCAAGUGAUUCACCUGCCUCAGCUUCCCAAAGUGCUAGGAUUACAGGUGUGAGCCACCAUGCCCAGCCUAAACUUCUUUUCUUUAUAAAUGACUCAGUCUCAGGUGUUUCUUUAUAACCAUGUGAGAAUGGACUAAUACAAUGGGCAAAACUAAAAGGAAAUGAACAUACUUCAUAAUACCAUGUCAUAUAUGGUAACAAUAGAUUUAUAGAUAUACAUACAGAUAGAUAUAUAGAUAUAGAUAUAUGGCAUCCAAACAUCUCAGAAAAGUGGGUAUGAGUUACUUCAGGGGAGAGGAGAGUACAUUGAUACAAUGCCUGAGCUGGGUUUUGACAGAUGAGUAGGAAUUUCCUAGGCAGACAAAGGAGAGGAGAAUGGCAUUCCAGGCAGAGGGCAUACCAGGUGCAAAGGCAUAGAAAGGUGAACCAGCAUGAUGCAUUUGAAGAGCUACAAGUCAUUUGGGGUCAUUGCUAAGGUAUAAAGUAAAAAGGGAGAUAUGGAGGCACCAAGAGAAAAGUAGCAGGGCCAAGAUGGUGGAAGAUUUCACCUGGAUUUUAUGCCUCAAGCCACAGGGGAUCAGUGGACCAGUGCUGGAGUUUAAAUAGAAGAAUGAGGCAUCAACUUCCGCCAUGUAAUAAGCAACCUCAAUGUCAGUGGCUUAAAGCAACAAUCAGCAUUUAUGGCUUAUGCAUCUGGGGUUGGCUGGGGCUUAGCUGAUUUGGGCUGGGCCUUGCUGAAGUGACUUGGCUCUUCUCCAUAUAUGUCUUGUCUUCCUCCUGGAACUGCUGGGCCAGCCUGGGCAUGUCUUGCUCAUGGCAAUGACAGAGGCACAAGAGCACGGAAAGAAACAUGCAAGGUGUCUUGAGGCCUGGGCUCAGAACUGGCACGUUGUCACUUCCACCUCAUUCUGUCCACCAAACAAAGUCACAUGACCCAGUCUAGAUUCAAGAGGAGGGGAACCAGUGAGAGCUCCUGCCAAGUCAUAUGACAAAGUUCAUGGCUAUACGGAGGACUGGAGAGUCAGGUCCAUCCAUGCACUCUACCACAAGCCAUGUGAUCAGGUCUCUGCAUUAGGUCACUAGGUAGCUAUGUGGAGGGUGGAUUACAGGGGAUAAGGCAGUUUCAGAGAUUCAGGCAGGAACUGAACAAAUGCCCUAGGAUCUCACAACCUGCUCUUUCUAUCUAUUCUAUGUACUGGGAUUUAGCCAGAUUACACAAAAGGAAAGCUUAUCUUUGGCCUUUUGUUCAAUUCUAAGAACUCAGCCUGAGCACUUUGGUGCUUGCACCAGUGCAUAAGAAGGCUUUGAAAUAAACAGAUAUUCAAUAAACUAGUGAACAAGAGUUUUCUUUAUCUUGGAAUAGACAUCUCUGAGACAAAAACGGACCUGAGCUGCAAUAUUGGAUAAGCCCCACUGAUCACAAGAAAACCUAACAUAGGUAAUUGACUAUUGGCAAAUGCAACAGAACCAAAUAAAGCAAAUAAUUAACAAUUAUUGUACUCAGAGGUAAAGGAACUACAAAUCUAGGCUGCCUCGGCAUUUGUCCUAGGCAUCAAUAAGAACAAAGUGUUUGUUAGUGGGUGAGUAACCCAGGUGUGAAAUUCAUUUUAUUAGACCAGAUCUAAAAAUAGGCUUGAACCAGAGAGUGGAAAAGAACACAAUUUAUCCCCACUUGCUCACUGGGGCACCCAGGGAAUAAAUUAAAGGCGCUGUUUUUUGUUUACAAAGGGGGAAUUGUGGUAGAUUGUUUGCAGAAAUGACCACAGUUACUUCCCUUUCUGUGUCUCUGCUACUUUGCAGAUGUGACUUUGUAACUCUUCCUAUCAAAAGUGGUGUCCUCAAGUCUUGAGUCUGUGACUAGUUUUGGCCAAUAGAAUGUGGCAGAGGUGACACUGUACUAGUUCCAAGCCCAAGCCUCAAGAGGCCUUGCACACCGCCACCUGCUUUCUUGGGACCCUUGUCUUCAUGAUGUGAACAAACCCAGGCUAAGCUGCCAGCGGAUGAGAGUUCAUGAGUCAGGCCAGUUGUCCCAGCCAAGACCUUAAACAUACACAAGAGCUCAGCCCAAACUAGCAAAACCAAACUGCAGCUGCCCCACAUCUAGCUACAAAAGCAAGAGGAAUUCUAGCUGAGUUCAGAAAACCUGCCAGCUGAGCCCAGCCUAAACAGCCAACCUACAGAAUCUUGAAGUAAAUACAUGGUUGUUAUUUUAAGCUACUAAGUUUUAGAGUGAUUUGUUACACAGCAAAAGGUAACUGAUAUCGGAGUAUUCUGGAUCAGGCCAGGUGCAUUGGCUCACACCUAUA